CGGUUAGUGGUGGAAUGGAAGACACUCCAGCCUUAGGAGCUGGUGCUCGAAAGGGCGUGUGGGUUCGAGUCCCACCUUGCCGA
RNAcentral lists this transfer RNA (83 nucleotides) under Prevotella sp. RNAcentral describes it as "tRNA-Leu". It matches the Rfam family "tRNA". From Rfam's summary of the family: Transfer RNA (tRNA) molecules are approximately 80 nucleotides in length. Their secondary structure includes four short double-helical elements and three loops (D, anti-codon, and T loops). Lineage: Bacteria; Pseudomonadati; Bacteroidota; Bacteroidia; Bacteroidales; Prevotellaceae. The record is from RNAcentral.